UGGGGAAUUUUGGACAAUGGGGGAAACCCUGAUCCAGCCAUCCCGCGUGUGCGAUGAAGGCCUUCGGGUUGUAAAGCACUUUUGGCAGGAAAGAAACGUCAUGGGUUAAUACCCCGUGAAACUGACGGUACCUGCAGAAUAAGCACCGGCUAACUACGUGCCAGCAGCCGCGGUAAUACGUAGGGUGCAAGCGUUAAUCGGAAUUACUGGGCGUAAAGCGUGCGCAGGCGGUUCGGAAAGAAGGAUGUGAAAUCCCAGGGCUCAACUUUGGAACUGCAUUUUUAACUACCGGGCUAGAGUGUGUCAGAGGGAGGUGGAAUUCCGCGUGUAGCAAUGAAAUGAGUAGAUAUGCGGAGGAACACCGAUGGCGAAGGCAGCCUCCUGGGAUAACACUGACGCUCAUGCACGAAAGCGUGGGGAGCAAACAGG
RNAcentral lists this ribosomal RNA (429 nucleotides) under Acidobacteriota bacterium. RNAcentral's name for it is "Acidobacteria bacterium partial 16S ribosomal RNA". It matches the Rfam family "Bacterial small subunit ribosomal RNA", at positions 355 to 776 of the family's 1533-position model. The record is from RNAcentral. Lineage: Bacteria; Pseudomonadati; Acidobacteriota.